CAGUCAUAGCACUGCUGCUUGAGCAAAAUCAGCAGAGCACCGCUCAAUUUGACGCUGAACAGAACUGGAAGUGCAAAUGCACUCUUUAGAAGAGAGUUUGCCAAUCGUAGACGAGAUCCCGUUAUUGACGUCACGCUGACCAACAACGUGACGCAGGCUGAGCGACAGCGGCGCGUCACCAACGUGACGGAGCUGGAGCGUAACGUGACGCAGGUGACGGAGGACGGGCCGCCCGGCACCGCGGCCAACCUGACCAGCCGCCUGCAGCGCCGCAGUCUGGGCAGCCGCGUCCUCACCACCAACUCGGAGUCGAGGGCGCGCGGAGUCGAGAUCCGACUCAGCUUCGACGAUACCGGAUCCACGUUACAACUAUCGGCCGACAAUCGACGCACCCUCACUGACAUCCAACGAGACGACAACGACCGAACGAUUGUCAGAAAUUCAACCGACAUCUUCACCGAAACUGGAUUUUCGAGACGAAUACGCAACAUGCGACGAAAUAGAGACAGAGUAAACACUGCCAAUGUUAAUGAGACUCAAACAAACUUAUCCGUGGGUCUCGGGAUUCAACCUCGUAAUAGAACCGUUCUCCUACGGUGACCACAAGCCAGGAGACACACUUCGAACGCUACAGAGAAGAAUGGGAAACCUUUAUUUUCGUAUACUUGGGAAUGAUAAAAGGCGCAGCCAUACAAGCAGUCAACUGACCGUAAACCGAAUCAAACAACUUGAUUUACACUGACUUCUAACGGAAACAGUGGAAUCACAAGUAAAUUAUGCAAGAUCCCGUAUGAAUCAAAUUUAGCUUUUUUUGGUAGAACUCUUGUUUUCAAUAAAUAAUUGGGUUAAAAAUGCACAGAAAGCUGGAAUACACUGAGGAGCUG
This 884-nucleotide unclassified non-coding RNA is filed under the name Amphibalanus amphitrite. RNAcentral describes it as "uncharacterized protein DKFZp434B061-like, transcript variant X3". The record is from RNAcentral. Lineage: Eukaryota; Metazoa; Arthropoda; Thecostraca; Balanomorpha; Balanidae.